AUCAGCCUUUUGGGUGUGAUUUUGUGGAACGUGAGGAGUUAAACGCCUUCAUGCCUGCAUAUUCGUGCACUUUGGGUGUACUUGCCCGUGUGGUUGGUUAACAUCAAUUUUGGUUAUCAAAAAAUGACUGGAGGAAUGUAGCUUCGAUCUCGUAUUGAAGUGUUAUAGCCUUCGGUAGAUGUGAUGAUCGAGAUUGAGGAUUGCAACGGAUACCCUUCGGGGCUACCUGUCUGGUCUCUGAUCGUUGCUCUGGUGCCGAAAGCUUGCUUACGGUUAUCAAAGUCGAUGGUCAAUAGGUUAGAACGGGUUAAAUUCGUUAAGGAUGUUGACGUAAUGGCUUU
RNAcentral lists this ribosomal RNA (341 nucleotides) under uncultured Glomeromycotina. RNAcentral's name for it is "eukaryotic LSU rRNA". Lineage: Eukaryota; Fungi; Glomeromycota. The record is from RNAcentral.